GCCUGUGUAGCUCAGUUGGUUAGAGCGCUGCACCGGAAUCGCAGGAUCGAUUCUUGCCAGAGGGCA
Molecule: non-coding RNA, 66 nt
Organism: Paramuricea clavata
Lineage: Eukaryota; Metazoa; Cnidaria; Anthozoa; Malacalcyonacea; Plexauridae
Source: the annotation of a GenBank genome assembly